CACCAGGUUGAUUCUGCCUGACGUAGACGCUAUACUCUAAGAUUAACCCAUGCAUGUUUAUUGAAUAUAAAGAAAAGACGAACAGCUCAGUAACUCUUAUUUGAUUUGAUGUAUUAGGACUCUAACUAUGUUAAAUUAUAGGUAACACAAUAAUACAAUAAGAAUAAGAUCUAUCAGUUAGUUGUUAAGGUAAUGGCUUAACAAGACUAUGACGGAUAACGGUAUUACUUUGUAAUAUUCCGGAGAAGGAGCCUGAGAGAUUGCUACUAAGUCUAAGGAUUGCAGCAGGGGCGAAACUUGACCA
Molecule: ribosomal RNA, 304 nt
Filed under: Nosema disstriae
Lineage: Eukaryota; Fungi; Microsporidia; Nosematidae
Description: SSU rRNA
Rfam family: Microsporidia small subunit ribosomal RNA
Source: RNAcentral